GGGGGUGUACCGGUUUCGACGGGGAUCGCCGGGGGUAUGGGAAGCGAGCCGCGUACUCUGACCGCGUAAUAAGCAGAGAAUUAAAAUUAACUGACAAUAACAAUCUCGCUUUCGCAGCGUAAGCUGCGCGUCGACCCGAAGCGCUCACGGCUUCGGCCACCGGCGUCAUUGAUGUGAGGAACAGGCUCGCUUAAGCUUUGCGGCGAUGCCGGUAAAAUGAAGCUACCCGGGCUCCAAGCCUGACAAAGGGCGUUCAGUCCGGGGAAAUUCAAAACUUUGUCUGCGCUCGGAGAAACCUGUAUCUUUGGGUCUUCGGACAGGAGUUCGACUCUCCUCACCUCCACCA
RNAcentral lists this transfer-messenger RNA (346 nucleotides) under Christensenellales. Its description in RNAcentral is "RUG756 sp902796115 Standard tmRNA". It matches the Rfam family "transfer-messenger RNA". From Rfam's summary of the family: Bacterial tmRNA, also known as 10Sa RNA or SsrA, is named for its dual tRNA and mRNA-like properties. Its role is to liberate the mRNA from a stalled ribosome. RNAcentral also lists the same sequence under 1 other name. The record is from RNAcentral. Lineage: Bacteria; Bacillati; Bacillota; Clostridia.